This 405-nucleotide ribosomal RNA is filed under the name uncultured bacterium. Its description in RNAcentral is "bacterial SSU rRNA". It matches the Rfam family "Bacterial small subunit ribosomal RNA", at positions 356 to 773 of the family's 1533-position model. The record is from RNAcentral.
GGGGAAUAUUGCACAAUGGGCGCAAGCCUGAUGCAGCAACGCCGCGUGAGGGAUGACGGCCUUCGGGUUGUAAACCUCUUUUAGUAGGGAAGAAGCGAAAGUGACGGUACCUGCAGAAAAAGCACCGGCUAACUACGUGCCAGCAGCCGCGGUAAUACGUAGGGUGCAAGCGUUGUCCGGAAUUAUUGGGCGUAAAGAGCUCGUAGGCGGCUUGUCGCGUCUGCUGUGAAAACCCGGAGCUCAACUCCGGGCCUGCAGUGGGUACGGGCAGGCUAGAGUGCGGUAGGGGAGAUUGGAAUUCCUGGUGUAGCGGUGGAAUGCGCAGAUAUCAGGAGGAACACCGAUGGCGAAGGCAGAUCUCUGGGCCGUAACUGACGCUGAGGAGCGAAAGCAUGGGGAGCGAAC